RNAcentral lists this small RNA (77 nucleotides) under unclassified sequences. RNAcentral describes it as "Actino-ugpB RNA". It matches the Rfam family "Actino-ugpB RNA". The record is from Rfam by way of RNAcentral.
GUCCAGAAGGACAACACUCACACCACGAUUUUUAAGUUGUGCCAGUGCAUCGCCGGCAUUGCCGGCUUCAAGGCACG